Non-coding RNA from Cherax quadricarinatus, 1851 nucleotides. The record is from RefSeq and is a predicted model, not a curated record. Lineage: Eukaryota; Metazoa; Arthropoda; Malacostraca; Decapoda; Parastacidae.
UUACCGGUCUACGCUGCGGCUCCUCCAACUCUCACUGCUUUUAACCCCAACAACAACAACUAUACAUACAAAAAAGUGCCACUUCAACAAAGUGACACGAGUACAGCAGUUAGAAGAGGAAAUUUCGAAAUUAAUAAUUUUGCGAAACUUAGAGAUAGACGACGAGGAAGAAGGGAAAUGUCGGAAAGUUCUUUAUUCGUGGAUCUGGUGAACUCUUGGUUUGGGAGUCUAACACUCAAUCUCUUGUGUUACUCUACAGUAUUCAUUCCUGGCUACAUCCUUAUUCAGUAUUUCAAAAAAUCAAAAUACAUAGAAAGAGCAGGUUCUGGCCUCAUUUCCAAACUCAUUACAUCUUGUGUUUAUGGUCAAAAUUAUGAAAAAUUAAUGACAACAGAUUUAGCUUCAUCAAAAACACUUCCAGCAGAGAGAAGCACAACUUACAGAUGUUUCCAGAUAGCCUUCUGCUUUGUGGGUCUUCAGGCAUCGUAUCUUACGUGGGGUGUUUUGCAAGAAAAAAUUAUGACAAAGGUAAGAUGAGAUGUUUCUGUAAUGUAAUUACAUACCUCCGAGUAAUUAUUUUAAUUUGCUCAACAUUUUUAUAGUUUUUUUAAUUACCUGUUUAUAAUUGCCAACUAUAUUAGUAUGCUAUAUCAACUCAUAGCUCAGUUGCUAGUGCUGUCAGCUCACACAUGGAGGUCCAUGAUUCGAUUCCUGGUACGGGUGGAAAUAUUAGGAUGCGUUUCCUUAAGACAUCUGCUGUCCCUGUUCACUGACACCUGCUGUCCCUGUUCACCGACACCUGCUGUCCCUGUUCGCCCACACCUGCUGUCCCUGUUUGCCUAGCAGUAGAUAGGCACUUGGGUGUUAGCCUUCUGGUGUGGGUUGCAUCCUGGGGACAAAAUAGCUCUAAUUUGAACAUUAAAAUGGUAUAAAAUACCGACAGGUUGUUAGGUAAGACACAUAUGCAACAGUUAGGUAUCUUUAUUGUGAAACGUUUCGCCUACACAGUAGGCUUCUUCAGUCAAGUACAGAAAAGUUGAUAGAAGCAGAAGAUACUUGAAGACGAUGUAAUCAGUCCAUCACCCUUAAAGUUUUGAGGUGGUCAGUCCCUCAGUCUGGAGAAGAGCAUUGUUCCAUAGUAUGAAGCAAUAUGGAGAAGAAGUGACAGGAUGGAGCUUUUUAUAGCGCCAAGAGGUGAGACGUAGGCCACUAGGAGAGGUAAGAACUCAGAUGUUGAGAGGUCAGGUCCCUCUCAAAUCCAGCCCCUCUCACUAGUGGAAGUUGUCGAAGUUGAUUGCAGGUCUGUACCAAGAUACCCUUGUGUUGCAGUGUCUGACAGAUUGAACAUUAAAAUGGUAUAAAAUACCGACAGGUUGUUAGGUAAGACAUAUGCAACAGUUAGGUAUCUUUAUUGUGAAACGUUUCGCCUACACAGUAGGCUUCUUCAGUCAAGUACAGAAAAGUUGAUAGAAGCAGAAGAUACUUGAAGACGAUGUAAUCAGUCCAUCACCCUUAAAGUUUUGAGGUGGUCAGUCCCUCAGUCUGGAGAAGAGCAUUGUUCCAUAGUAUGAAACAAUAUGGAGAAGAAGUGACAGGAUGGAGCUUUUUAUAGCGCCAAAAGGUGAGACGUAGGCCACUAGGAGAGGUAAGAACUCAGAUGUUGAGAGGUCAGGUCCCUCUCAAAUCCAGCCCCUCUCACUAGUGGAAGUUGUCGAAGUUGAUUGCAGGUCUGUACCAAGAUACCCUUGUGUUGCAGUGUCUGACAGAUUGAACAUUAAAAUGGUAUAAAAUACCGACAGGUUGUUAGGUAAGACACAUAUGCAACAGUUAGGUAUCUUUAUUGUGAAACGU